GCUUACCUUGCUUACCUAGCUCAUUAAUUUUAAAUUUUGAGGUAACCUUUUAUGCAAUGGGCCUAUUGACCAACGAAAUUUACAAUUUUGUAACUCAAGUUCUUUAAAAUCUUAGUGUUUAGAGUCAAUUUUUGUUAAUUUUGUUAGUCAAAAAUUUUGUGUAGUUGUCCUUGAAAGAUUGGAUACUUCAAAGUUAUUUAGGAAGCGUCUCUUGUUUCUUAAUAUUUCUAAGUGAAUUUGUCUUUUUUUCAUUUCAGUGCGUGAAGGUUGCCAUAAAGGACAAACAAGUGAAAUACUUUAUACAUUACAGUGGUUGGAAUAAAAAGUGAGUAUUAGAUUUUUAAAAGCAAUUUUUGUGAUGUCUUAAUGUAAUAUAGUAUGUUUUGAAGCAAGGGUAAGCCAUUUGUAAUAUGAAGAAACUAUUAGAAAUGAGAGUUACUAGGCCUUUCAUUUCAUUUGUUUAUUUGCAGUACUGGAGGAUUAAACCCAGGAACAUGCUAGUUCUGACCUACAUCCCAGCCCUUUUUGUUUUGAGACAGGGUCUUGAUAAAUGUCAAGGCUGGCCUUGACCUUGAUCAUCCUCCCAUCUUAGCCUCAUUAGCUGAGAUUAUAGGUGUGCACUGGUAACCAUUUUAUUUUAUAAUGUAUGUGAGUUUUGGAAGAAUGUCUUAGAUUCUAGUGUGGUGUCAAAUAGUGGUUGAAUGAUGAGUGGAAGCAGCCCAUUUUUUUUACAGUUUGGUACAUUUUGGGGUACCUUUUUUGGCCUUAGCAUCAACCCAAUGACUAUAUGUAUAUUUCAAGCAGUUAGACUCCGAACUAGUUGGGUUUUUCUGUGUGAAAAAGGAAAUAGUAUAAAAGUUGGUUUGAAAAUGUGACAGAAUUGAUCAACCCAUUUUUGUGAGGUUUAGAAAUAUCGUGAGGCCCACAAAUAAUUUCAUCUUAAUAAAUUUAUUUGGGCCUUUUGUAAUUUUUACUAUGAGAGGUUUUUAAUUACUUUUAUUAAUGAUGUUCUUUGCUUCAAAAAUAACAUAACUAACCAGGAACUAGUUAUUUAGGAAUUGUUUCUAGUAACUUAAUGCUUUGCGUCAUCUGACCCAGGCAUGGUGCUGUUGCUUUGGAAAAUUUCUACUGAAUUUAUUGGCACAUUGACUUUGAUCUUUUAUACAGUCUUCUCUCCAGGUGACCAACCCAGCACCCUUCCCCACCACAAAGCUAUACCUGUUGCUUAUUUAAAUUUUUAUGUUUAUUUUUUUAAAAAGCAUGGAAUAUGGGCAGGGAUUGUGGCUCAGCAGUAGAGCACUCGUGUAGCGCGGGUGGGACCCAGGUUCGAUCCUCAGCACCACAUAAAAAUAAAGGCAUUGUGUUGUGUCCAUCCACACCUAAAAUAAAUAAAUAAAUAAAUAAAUAUUUUUUAAAAAACAUGGAAUGCUUCACAAAUUUGUGUAUCAUUCUUGGGCAGGGGUCAUGUUAACUUCCUAUAUUCUAGUUUUUUUUAGUAUAUGUGCUGCAGGAGCAAACACUUAAAUAUUUUGAAAUGGAGUCUUCCUAAGUUGCUGAGGCUGAUGUUGACUUUUGGGUUCUCUUGCCUCAGCCUCCUGAGUCACUGGAAUCAUAGGCAUGUAUCACUGUGCCCAGC
RNAcentral lists this long non-coding RNA (1636 nucleotides) under Marmota monax (woodchuck). The record is from RNAcentral. Lineage: Eukaryota; Metazoa; Chordata; Mammalia; Rodentia; Sciuridae.